Molecule: ribosomal RNA, 253 nt
Filed under: uncultured bacterium
Lineage: Bacteria
Description: partial 16S ribosomal RNA
Rfam family: Bacterial small subunit ribosomal RNA
Source: RNAcentral
UACGUAGGGGGCAAGCGUUGUCCGGAAUUACUGGGCGUAAAGGGCGCGUAGGCGGCCCGCUAAGUCGAACGUGAAAUCCCCGGGCUCAACCCGGGAACUGCGUCCGAUACUGGUGGGCUUGAAUCCGGGAGAGGGAUGCGGAAUUCCAGGUGUAGCGGUGAAAUGCGUAGAUAUCUGGAGGAACACCGGUGGCGAAGGCGGCAUCCUGGACCGGUAUUGACGCUGAGGCGCGAAAGCCAGGGGAGCAAACGGG